Molecule: ribosomal RNA, 303 nt
Filed under: uncultured bacterium
Lineage: Bacteria
Description: partial 16S ribosomal RNA
Rfam family: Bacterial small subunit ribosomal RNA
Source: RNAcentral
AGCAGUACCACGGUAAUACGAAGGGGGCUAGCGUUGCUCGGAAUGACUGGGCGUAAAGGGCUCGCAGGCGGUUUCUUAAGUCUGAUGUGAAAGCCCCCGGCUCAACCGGGGAGGGUCAUUGGAAACUGGGAAACUUGAGUGCAGAAGAGGAGAGUGGAAUUCCACGUGUAGCGGUGAAAUGCGUAGAGAUGUGGAGGAACACCAGUGGCGAAGGCGACUCUCUGGUCUGUAACUGACGCGGAGGAGCGAAAGCGUGGGGAGCGAACAGGAUUAGAUACCCGGGUAGUCCCUGUCUCUUAUACA